ACCACCUGGGUAACUUGUUAAAAUGCAGAUUCUAAUUCAGUAGUUCUGGGGUGGAGCCUGAGAUUCUGUAUUUAUACCAAGUCCCCAGGUGAUGUCAG
This 98-nucleotide microRNA precursor is filed under the name Equus asinus (donkey). RNAcentral describes it as "mir-544 microRNA precursor family". It matches the Rfam family "mir-544 microRNA precursor family". The record is from Rfam by way of RNAcentral. Lineage: Eukaryota; Metazoa; Chordata; Mammalia; Perissodactyla; Equidae. RNAcentral also lists the same sequence under 1 other name.